Long non-coding RNA from Gavialis gangeticus (Gharial), 76 nucleotides. RefSeq lists it as uncharacterized. The transcript has 3 exons. NCBI's taxonomy places the organism in Eukaryota, Metazoa, Chordata, Crocodylia, Gavialidae. The record is from RefSeq and is a predicted model, not a curated record.
CAUGAGCCAGCAGGAUAGUUCAGUGGUUGUCAACCGGUGAUACGCAUACUCCUAGGGGUACUUAAAAAAGUCAUAG